AAUCAACGCUGGCGGCGUGCCUCAGACAUGCAAGUCGAACGAUUAAACUUGCCUUCGGGCAAGAUAUAAAGUGGCGCACGGGUGAGUAACACGUAAGUAAUCUACCUUCGAGUGGGGAAUAACGUCGGGAAACCGACGCUAAUACCGCAUAAUGCAGCGGCACCUAAUGGUGACAGUUGUUAAAGGAGCAAUUCGCUUGAAGAGGAGCUUGCGGCAGAUUAGCUAGUUGGAAGGUAAUGGCUUACCAAGGCUACGAUCUGUAACCGGUCUAAGAGGACGGUCGGUCACACUGACACUGAAUAACGGGUCAGACUCCUACGGGAGGCAGCAGUCGGGAAUUUUGGGCAAUGGGCGAAAGCCUGACCCAGCAACGCCGCGUGAAGGACGAAGUCUUUC
Molecule: ribosomal RNA, 396 nt
Filed under: uncultured bacterium
Lineage: Bacteria
Description: bacterial SSU rRNA
Rfam family: Bacterial small subunit ribosomal RNA
Source: RNAcentral